CAGCAGCCGCGGUAAUACGAAGGGUGCAAGCGUUAAUCGGAUUUACUGGGCGUAAAGCGUGCGUAGGCGGCUUUUUAAGUCGGAUGUGAAAUCCCUGAGCUUAACUUAGGAAUUGCAUUCGAUACUGGGAAGCUAGAGUAUGGGAGAGGAUGGUAGAAUUCCAGGUGUAGCGGUGAAAUGCGUAGAGAUCUGGAGGAAUACCGAUGGCGAAGGCAGCCAUCUGGCCUAAUACUGACGCUGAGGUACGAAAGCAUGGGGAGCAAACAGGAUUAGAUACCCCCGUAGUCCCUGUCUCUUAUAC
RNAcentral lists this ribosomal RNA (301 nucleotides) under uncultured bacterium. RNAcentral's name for it is "partial 16S ribosomal RNA". It matches the Rfam family "Bacterial small subunit ribosomal RNA", at positions 509 to 807 of the family's 1533-position model. The record is from RNAcentral.